GCAAAGGUAGCAUAAUAAUUAGUCUUUUAAUUGAAGGCUUGUAUGAAUGAUUGGACGAGAUAUAAGCUGUCUCAAAUAAAUUGUUAGAACUUUAUUUUUCAGUAAAAAAGCUGAAAUAAAUUUAAAAGACGAGAAGACCCUAUAGAUCUUUAUAUUAACUGUUAUUUAUUUUUAUAGGAUUAAUUAUAAUUAAUUAUUAGUUAAUAUUUUAUUGGGGUGAUAUUGAAAUUUAAUAAACUUUCAAUUAGAUUAUAACAUUAAUCUAUGAAUUAUUGAUCCAUUAUUAUUGAUUAAAAAAUUUAAGUUACCUUAGGGAUAACAGCGUAAUUAUUUUGGAGAGUUCAUAUCGAUAAAAUAGAUUGCGACCUCGAUGUUGGAUUAAGAUUAAUUCUAGGCGCAGCAGCUUA
This 407-nucleotide ribosomal RNA is filed under the name Thinophilus sp. 9 SNK-2009. RNAcentral's name for it is "partial 16S ribosomal RNA". It matches the Rfam family "Bacterial large subunit ribosomal RNA", at positions 1950 to 2565 of the family's 2925-position model. Lineage: Eukaryota; Metazoa; Arthropoda; Insecta; Diptera; Dolichopodidae. The record is from RNAcentral.